RNAcentral lists this ribosomal RNA (244 nucleotides) under uncultured Lactobacillus sp. Its description in RNAcentral is "partial 16S ribosomal RNA". It matches the Rfam family "Bacterial small subunit ribosomal RNA", at positions 118 to 355 of the family's 1533-position model. Lineage: Bacteria; Bacillati; Bacillota; Bacilli; Lactobacillales; Lactobacillaceae. The record is from RNAcentral.
CGGGUAACCUGCCCAAGAGAUCGGGAUAACACCUGGAAACAGAUGCUAAUACCGGAUAACAACAGAUGAUGCCUAUCAACUGUUUAAAAGAUGGUUCUGCUAUCACUCUUGGAUGGACCUGCGGUGCAUUAGCUAGUUGGUAGGGUAACGGCCUACCAAGGCGAUGAUGCAUAGCCGAGUUGAGAGACUGAUCGGCCACAUUGGGACUGAGACACGGCCCAAACUCCUACGGGAGGCAGCAGCU